This is a long non-coding RNA of Cercocebus atys (sooty mangabey), 1779 nucleotides long. RefSeq lists it as uncharacterized. Lineage: Eukaryota; Metazoa; Chordata; Mammalia; Primates; Cercopithecidae. The transcript is spliced from 3 exons. The record is from RefSeq and is a predicted model, not a curated record.
CUGGUCUCCUGGGCUCAAGGGAGACUCCCACCUCAGCCUCUCAAAGUGCUGGGAUUACAGGUAUGAACCACCUGGGUCAUUAGGAAGCCAGUCUGCAGCCCCCUCCCUGUCUGGGAGGCGCUGGAGGGUGUGUGCGCAGACAGACGGACAGUCCCUUCCACGGAGAACCGGAAUGCGCUGCCCUACCCUGCCCGCUCCCCUGGGACCGCCCAGUCCUCGGACUCUGCCCUCGGGCCCUUCCCCAGAAGUCCUGCCCGCCAUGGGAAGAGAGAGGCUGAGACCCACCCCGAUGGAAGCAGAGAGGCCCUGGAAGGUGGGGGAAUGCGCCUUCGGUGCCGGCCUCCCCCCAACUCUAUUUCAGGCACCCCCACCCCACUCCCAGCAUCUGCCACUCACAUCAGCUUCUGCAGCAUUCAACGAGGUGGAGAAAGUGCUGAGCUUCAGGGAGGACCACGGCCCAGCCCCCUCCAAGGUAGGGGAGGGAGUGACAAGGUGGGGGUCCGGCCGGCUCUCCAAGCAGGGAGCCCGUGAGGUGCAGUCAAUCCAAACAGGGCUCACUGAAGACACGGCCUGUAAGUUCUCCCCUAAAGGGUCCCUGAAACUAUGAAACCCCAGAGAGGGGCAGGAGACCCCGGGAUGGCCAGGGGCGGGGGUGGGGACGAGACCGGAAGGAGGGAGCCCCCACCUCCGUCCUCACCAUUCGCCUUCCCCACUGAGGGAGCCACGGCCGUGGCCACAUCAUCGCAAGACACACAUGCAUUGUUGGGGUCGCCCGGCCUGCGGCGGGAUCCCCGGCUCCGUCCCCUCUUAGAUAAGGAGAAGCAGUGAGCAGGCCCAGCCUUCAAACAGCUCAGCCACUGCCACCGCUGCCGCCUCCUCCUCCUCCUCCUCCUCCCCACAGCCAUCUUCCCUGCUCCUUAGGCAGGGACAGGCCUGGGCUGUCCUGGAGGCCACCAAACCGCCUGGGACAAGUAGGUACCACCCCGGAUCUGUGCUUCGGACGUCCUUUGAGGGGAAUCUCGUUUCACCACUGUUCUGUGUCUGACUUCUGGCCGCCGAACGGGGGCCCGUGUUCUGCACGAGGCUGACCAGGGGGACGGGGGACGGGAAGAGAUGGUUUUGGUACUUACUUUUCUUUUUGUCUCACAACAGGGGGGUUAAGGUUCUCGGGGGCUGAAGGAGCCGCUUGGGGCUGGCAGGCCUGGCUUUAUAGCGGCCGUCACCCCGGACCUGGGCAAAGGCGCUGUGGUUAUUAAUAGUGACUGCAGCUUCAUGCCCGUAUAUGGUCAAGGCCACGGCAGCUGCAGGCUCUGCCGGACUCAGGCCUCCUCCCAACACCUGCUCCGGGCCCUGACCUGGAGGCGCCGGGCAGCACUCGCCCCAUCCAAUGUGACUUGGCAAUGACCAUGUCGGAGACCCUAGAAUCAAACAAGACUCACAGUUGGGGGCCCUCCAGAGGGUGCCGGGUCCCGCCGCACCCCUUCCUUCCGCCCUCACCACCGUCUUGGGAGGCACAUGGAAUCCCUGUCCCUGGGGAGGGGGAAAUGGCAGAGAGAGAGGCAGCACUGUUUACCAGGAGCGCAGCCAGGAUGUGCUUAAACCCAGGACACAUUUUUGCAGACGGUGUGUAACUAAAUCCAGGCUGCGGCCUGAGGCCUCAAAUGGGUGUUCUGUGUCCUGUGCUGCCUUUACUCAGCCUGGGGAAACCGGGAGGACCCAUGGCCUCCUCCGCUCCUGCAGACACAGGGUCUCCCCAGGUUGCCCAGUCUGGUCUGCAAC